GCCGGGUGUGGUGGCGCAUGCCUGUAAUCCCAGUAGCUUGGGAGGCUGAGGCAGGAGGAUCACGAGUUCCAUGCUGGCCUCAGCAAAAGUGAGGCUUGCUGAACAACUCAGUGAGACCCUGUCUCUA
This 127-nucleotide small RNA is filed under the name Marmota monax (woodchuck). Lineage: Eukaryota; Metazoa; Chordata; Mammalia; Rodentia; Sciuridae. The record is from RNAcentral.